AUGUGGCUUUUCAUCCUAGAUCAUAAAAGACAAUAUACCUUAUGCUUGGCCUCUCUCUUGUUUUCUUUCUCUCUUUCUUUCAGAAUGUGUGCUUUUGAAAGUAAAAAGUCUAGCUACCCUAAAGCAGCCAUUCUGAGAAACUGUAUAGGGAGUCUACAUAAGGAUAGAGAAAGAUGCCUAAGGAAGGGCUCUUCUAGAUUCUUGUUGAGUUUUCAAAUUAUCAGCUUCCAAGCAUCAUCAAUAGGAGAGAGACAUUGGCUACUUUGACAACUUUAAAGCGAACUCCAGGAAUGUCACCGACAGCAUGACCUUUGCAACCAAAUCCAGCCACCAGAACCUCAUCAUUUUCCUCAAUAAAGUUCAAACAACCAUCA
Molecule: long non-coding RNA, 374 nt
Filed under: Vulpes vulpes (red fox)
Lineage: Eukaryota; Metazoa; Chordata; Mammalia; Carnivora; Canidae
Description: lncRNA (ENSVVUG00000014462.1)
Source: RNAcentral